AUGUUCGGGUGGAUGACGCCGCCGCAGCUCAAGGGGAAGGUGGUGCUCAUGCGCAGGAACCUUCUCGACUUGAACCACUGGCAGCAACCCGUGAGCCACGACACCUGGGACGAGGUCACCACCAAAGGCGUCACCUGCCAGCUCAUCAGCUCCACCGUCGCCGACCCGAAUGAUGAGAGUGGCACCCGGGGUCUCUUGGGCGAAGAGGAGCGGGUUGAGCACUGGGUGCUCCACUUGCCCCCGAUCAACCACGGCGAUACCACCUACGAUGUCACCUUCGACUGGGACGUGAAGAAGCAAGGCAUUCCUGGCGCCGUCAUCGUUCGGAACUACCAUGCCACCCAGUUCCUCCUCAAGACCAUCACCAUCGACGACAUCCCCGGCCACGCCGGCCCCAUCGUCUUCGUCGCAAAUUCAUGGGUCUAUAACACCAACAAGUACCACUACGACCGAGUCUUCUUCACCAACGACACGUACCUGCCAAGCGAGAUGCCGACGUUGUUGCAGCCGUUCCGAGAGGACGAGCUCCGGAUCCUGCGAGGGGACGACCCCAGGCAGAAGAACGGCGCCUAUGAGGAGCACGACCGCGUCUACCGCUACGACCUCUACAACGACCUCGGCGAUCCAGACCACAAGAACCCUCGCCCCACCCUCGGCGGCCCGGACAGCUUGUACCCAUACCCGCGCCGAGGCCGCACCGGCAGGAAGCCCAUGGUGACCGACCCCACGUGCGAGAGCAGGAACGUCUUACCCGUGCUCCAACAGUUCUAUGUCCCCCGCGACGAGAACUUCAACCAUGUCAAGAAAGCCGACUUCACGGCCUACCUCAUCAAGGCCAUCUCCGGCGGCAUCCUCCCCCUCCUCCGCCAGCAGUUCGACUCCGUCUCGCCGCGCGAGUUCGACGACUUCGAGGACAUGUACAAGCUCUACGAAGGCGGGCUUAAGAUCCCCGACAUCCCCGCCCUGGACGAGCUGUUCAAAUCGUUCCCGCCGCUGAGGAGCAUCAUGCCGGCCGGCGGGGACUUCCUCCUCAAGAUGCCCAUGCCGCAUGUCAUCAAGGAGGACAAGCUCGCGUGGCGGACGGACGAGGAGUUCGCCCGGGAGAUGCUCGCCGGCCUCAACCCACACAUCAUCACCCGCCUGAAGGUGUUCCCUCCGAGGAGCACGCUUGAAGGGUACGGUGACCAGACGAGCAAGAUCACGGUGGAGCACAUCCAACACAACCUCGGCAAGCUCAGCGUCGACAAGGCAAUCGACGCCAAGAGGCUCUUCAUCCUAGACCACCACGACAACUUCAUGCCUCACCUGCUAAAGAUCAACAGUCUUCCAAACACAUUCGUCUAG
RNAcentral lists this ribosomal RNA (1344 nucleotides) under Triticum aestivum (bread wheat). Its description in RNAcentral is "partial small subunit ribosomal RNA". Lineage: Eukaryota; Viridiplantae; Streptophyta; Magnoliopsida; Poales; Poaceae. The record is from RNAcentral.